Molecule: ribosomal RNA, 426 nt
Filed under: uncultured Stenotrophomonas sp.
Lineage: Bacteria; Pseudomonadati; Pseudomonadota; Gammaproteobacteria; Lysobacterales; Lysobacteraceae
Description: bacterial SSU rRNA
Rfam family: Bacterial small subunit ribosomal RNA
Source: RNAcentral
GGGGAAUAUUGGACAAUGGGCGCAAGCCUGAUCCAGCCAUACCGCGUGGGUGAAGAAGGCCUUCGGGUUGUAAAGCCCUUUUGUUGGGAAAGAAAUCCAGCUGGCUAAUACCCGGUUGGGAUGACGGUACCCAAAGAAUAAGCACCGGCUAACUUCGUGCCAGCAGCCGCGGUAAUACGAAGGGUGCAAGCGUUACUCGGAAUUACUGGGCGUAAAGCGUGCGUAGGUGGUCGUUUAAGUCCGUUGUGAAAGCCCUGGGCUCAACCUGGGAACUGCAGUGGAUACUGGACGACUAGAGUGUGGUAGAGGGUAGCGGAAUUCCUGGUGUAGCAGUGAAAUGCGUAGAGAUCAGGAGGAACAUCCAUGGCGAAGGCAGCUACCUGGACCAACACUGACACUGAGGCACGAAAGCGUGGGGAGCAAACA